Molecule: ribosomal RNA, 144 nt
Filed under: uncultured Bacillota bacterium
Lineage: Bacteria; Bacillati; Bacillota
Description: uncultured Firmicutes bacterium partial 16S ribosomal RNA
Rfam family: Bacterial small subunit ribosomal RNA
Source: RNAcentral
AUUGCACAAUGGGGGAAACCCCGAUGCAGCGACGCCGCGUGGAGGAAGAAGGUUUUCGGAUUGUAAACUCCUGUUGUUGGGGAAGCAAUGACGGUACCCAACAAGGAAGUGACGGCUAACUACGUGCCAGCAGCCGCGGUAAUA